CUCUACUGGUUUACCAGAGAGACUACAAUUGCCUCUUUUACGAACAUUACCUGGACUUGAGAACUGUACAAUGCUCAGGCCAGCCUAUGCGGUAGAGUAUGAUUACUUGCCGGCUUAUCAGUGCUCCAGGUUCCUAAUGACUAAAAAGAUAGAGGGCCUUUUCUUUUCUGGCCAGAUAAAUGGGACAACUGGCUAUGAAGAAGCUGCCCCUAAUGACUAAAAAGAUCGAGGGCCUUUUCUUUUCUGGCCAGAUAAAUGGGACAACAGGCUAUGAAGAAGCUGCUGCCCAGG
Molecule: long non-coding RNA, 291 nt
Filed under: Nicotiana benthamiana
Lineage: Eukaryota; Viridiplantae; Streptophyta; Magnoliopsida; Solanales; Solanaceae
Description: long non-coding RNA (NBEN_LNC034651)
Source: RNAcentral